CUCACAUUUCAUUUGGAAUAUCAGGAGUGUCAUAUGUCUAUACUGAUUUUUCGGGUUGACGUUUUCUUUUGUAGGCUUUAAGUGGAUUCGGAAUUCCAAGACAGAUGCUAUUGAUUUAGAUGCUUCUUGACUAGUUGUGCGGAAAGUGAGCUUAAGUGCUUCACCUUGAAUUAAAGAAGAUCAUUGCGUGGCAUCAACUCGAAUCAAUGAGCAAAUGCUUAGCAUUAGUACUUUUUUUUAUUUGAUGUGGGACUGUUUUAGAUUCUUACGAAUUUAAGGUUGUAAUGUACAACUCAUUAUACAUGAAUUUGUACUCUACUAUUUUAGUUUGACAUGAGUUUAAAUUUGCAAUAUUGUUAUUGUGAA
Long non-coding RNA from Lycium barbarum (goji berry), 366 nucleotides. RefSeq lists it as uncharacterized. The transcript has 2 exons. NCBI's taxonomy places the organism in Eukaryota, Viridiplantae, Streptophyta, Magnoliopsida, Solanales, Solanaceae. The record is from RefSeq and is a predicted model, not a curated record.